RNAcentral lists this ribosomal RNA (269 nucleotides) under uncultured bacterium. RNAcentral describes it as "partial 16S ribosomal RNA". It matches the Rfam family "Bacterial small subunit ribosomal RNA", at positions 524 to 789 of the family's 1533-position model. The record is from RNAcentral.
CACGUAGGGCGCAAGCGUUGUCCGGAAUUAUUGGGCGUAAAGAGCUCGUAGGUGGUUUGUUACGUCCGCUGUGAAACCCUAGGGCUUAACCCUGGGCUUGCAGUGGAUACGGGCAGACUAGAGGUAGGUAGGGGAGAAUGGAAUUCCUGGUGUAGCGGUGAAAUGCGCAGAUAUCAGGAGGAACACCGGUGGCGAAGGCGGUUCUCUGGGCCUUACCUGACACUGAGGAGCGAAAGCGUGGGGGAGCGAACAGGAUUAGAUACCCCCUG